GAUGAACGCUAGCGGCAGGCUUAACACAUGCAAGUCGAGGGGUAUUGGUUUUCGGACCAAGAGACCGGCGCACGGGUGCGUAACGCGUAUGCAAUCUACCUUUUGCAGAGGGAUAGCCCCAGAGAAAUUUGGAUUAAUACCUCAUAGUAUAGUACUUUGGCAUCAAGGAACUAUUAAAGUCACAACGGCAAAAGAUGAGCAUGCGUCCCAUUAGCUAGUUGGUAAGGUAACGGCUUACCAAGGCUACGAUGGGUAGGGGUUCUGAGAGGGAGAUCCCCCACACUGGUACUGAGACACGGACCAGACUCCUACGGGAGGCAGCAGUGAGGAAUAUUGGACAAUGGGCGCAAGCCUGAUCCAGCCAUGCCGCGUGCAGGAUGACGGUCCUAUGGAUUGUAAACUGCUUUUGUACAGGAAGAACACUACUUCGUGAAGUAGCUUGACGGUACUGUAAGAAUAAGGAUCGGCUAACUCCGUAGCCAGCAGCCGCGGUAA
This 495-nucleotide ribosomal RNA is filed under the name uncultured bacterium. RNAcentral describes it as "bacterial SSU rRNA". It matches the Rfam family "Bacterial small subunit ribosomal RNA", at positions 28 to 523 of the family's 1533-position model. The record is from RNAcentral.